Molecule: long non-coding RNA, 639 nt
Filed under: Pectinophora gossypiella (pink bollworm)
Lineage: Eukaryota; Metazoa; Arthropoda; Insecta; Lepidoptera; Gelechiidae
Description: uncharacterized LOC126379049
Source: RNAcentral
AUGAAAUUAAAAAAUACAGACUAAUUUUGUAUGUUAUUUUUAUUAAUUGAUAAUACUUUUAGUUAAUCACUUUGUAAAGUCUUACAAAUGUUUAAAACAAAAGGAAAAUGCAACGACGGAUUUUUCUUUUGCAACUGAAGUAAUGAAACGCAAAAAAAAAGAAAAAUGACGUUAUGUUAUAUCAGCUGACAUACUUGAAUUCGCGCCGAAUGCAACAGUUUUAUCUUUUCAGAAUUUAUACAAUAACAACAGUAACGAAAGAAAUAUCACCGAUUUACUACCUACUAGAUCUAGAGAGUCGGAGGCUAGACAUGGAGGAGCGACUUGUUUCAGCAGUCGACAAGCUGGCUGGCUACAGCUGCUGAAGCUAAUAGCAAGGCUGCGGAUAUGCAAACAGAGUUGCUUCAGCUGCUGCUGGAGGAAGUUAGGUGAAGACCAAUAUAAGGUUAAAGAAUAGCAGCAUGACGAUUCUCAAGAACGAAGACACUAGAGAAACCUAAGUUAAAAUACUUAAGUAAAAACAUAUGUAUUCAAUAAGCUUGUAUGUAAAUAUUUAAGCUAAAGUAUAAGUACUCCAUUUAUGUUAUUUAAGUGAAGUUGUAUGAUCCUGAAACAUAUAUUUAAUUUAAAUACUUAAGU